AGGGAGAGGAGGAAGAAGAGGAGGAGAUAGGAAGAAGAGUGUUUCCAAGUCGGUUAAGGCCGGUCUCCAGUUCCCUGUUGGUCGUAUCGCUCGUUUCCUGAAGAAGGGUCGGUACGCGAUUCGGUAUGGCUCCGGUGCUCCGGUCUACCUCGCCGCCGUUCUCGAGUACCUCGCUGCCGAGGUAAAUCUCAGAUCUCCUUCUUUCUUUGCAUUUUUCUUAUUAGAUGUGCAUUCUGAUUGUAUUUUAGAGAAAUGGUUCGUCGGAAAUUGAUUUAGG
This 277-nucleotide long non-coding RNA is filed under the name Eutrema salsugineum. RNAcentral describes it as "long non-coding RNA (ESAL_LNC000449)". Lineage: Eukaryota; Viridiplantae; Streptophyta; Magnoliopsida; Brassicales; Brassicaceae. The record is from RNAcentral.